Molecule: ribosomal RNA, 404 nt
Filed under: uncultured bacterium
Lineage: Bacteria
Description: partial 16S ribosomal RNA
Rfam family: Bacterial small subunit ribosomal RNA
Source: RNAcentral
GACGAACGCUGGCGGCGUGCUUAACACAUGCAAGUCGAGCGGAGCGGCGAACGGGUGAGUAACGCGAGAGUAACUGCCCCCCUCUCUGGGAUAACCGCUGGAAAGGGCUGCUAAUACCGGAUAGUGGGGGAUGACUCGCGGCCUAUCCGCUUGUUGGUGGGGUGGUGGCCUACCAGGGCGACGACGGGUAGCCGGCCUUAGAGGGGGACCGGGCACAUUGGGCUGAGAUACGGCCCAGAGUCCUACGGGAGGCAGCAGUGGGGAAUAUUGCACAAUGGGGGAAACCCUGAUGCAGAAGCGCGCGUGCGGGAUGACGGCCUUCGGGUUGUAAACCGCUUUCAGCCAUGACGCGGUAGUGGCAGAAGAAGCACCGGCUAACUACGUGCCAGCAGCCGCGGUAAUAC